UAGUCCACGCCGUAAACGAUGAUUACUCGCUGUAGGCGAUACACAGUCUGUGGCUAAGCGAAAGUUUUAAGUAAUCCACCUGGGGAGUACGAUCGCAAGAUUGAAACUCAAAGGAAUUGACGGGGGCCCGCACAAGCGGAGGAACAUGUGGUUUAAUUCGAUGAUACGCGAGGAACCUUACCUGGACUUAAAUGUAGAUUGCAUAGCUUAGAGAUAGGCUUUUCUUCGGACUAUUUACAAGGUGCUGCAUGGUUGUCGUCAGCUCGUGCCGUGAGGUGUCGGGUUAAGUCCCAUAACGAGCGCAACCCCUAUCCUUAGUUGCCAGCGGGUCAUGCCGGGGACUCUGAGGAGACUGCCUCCGUAAGGAGUGAGGAAGGUGGGGAUGACGUCAAAUCAUCAUGGCCUUUAUGCCCAGGGCUACACACGUGCUACAAUGGCCAGUACAGAGGGUCGCGAAACCGCGAGGUGGAGCCAAUCUCAGAAAGCUGGUCUUAGUUCGGAUCGG
This 505-nucleotide ribosomal RNA is filed under the name uncultured bacterium. RNAcentral describes it as "bacterial SSU rRNA". It matches the Rfam family "Bacterial small subunit ribosomal RNA", at positions 791 to 1301 of the family's 1533-position model. The record is from RNAcentral.